This 386-nucleotide ribosomal RNA is filed under the name Lactobacillus sp. UN_52. RNAcentral's name for it is "bacterial SSU rRNA". It matches the Rfam family "Bacterial small subunit ribosomal RNA", at positions 215 to 593 of the family's 1533-position model. Lineage: Bacteria; Bacillati; Bacillota; Bacilli; Lactobacillales; Lactobacillaceae. The record is from RNAcentral.
UCGCUUUUAGAUGGACCCGCGGCGUAUUAACUAGUUGGUGGGGUAACGGCCUACCAAGGUGAUGAUACGUAGCCGAACUGAGAGGUUGAUCGGCCACAUUGGGACUGAGACACGGCCCAAACUCCUACGGGAGGCAGCAGUAGGGAAUCUUCCACAAUGGACGCAAGUCUGAUGGAGCAACGCCGCGUGAGUGAAGAAGGUCUUCGGAUCGUAAAACUCUGUUGUUAGAGAAGAACACGAGUGAGAGUAACUGUUCAUUCGAUGACGGUAUCUAACCAGCAAGUCACGGCUAACUACGUGCCAGCAGCCGCGGUAAUACGUAGGUGGCAAGCGUUGUCCGGAUUUAUUGGGCGUAAAGGGAACGCAGGCGGUCUUUUAAGUCUGAU